Molecule: ribosomal RNA, 486 nt
Filed under: uncultured bacterium
Lineage: Bacteria
Description: partial 16S ribosomal RNA
Rfam family: Bacterial small subunit ribosomal RNA
Source: RNAcentral
AUUGAACGCUGGCGGCAUGCCUUACACAUGCAAGUCGAACGGCAGCACGGGUGCUUGCACCUGGUGGCGAGUGGCGAACGGGUGAGUAAUACAUCGGAACAUGUCCUGUAGUGGGGGAUAGCCCGGCGAAAGCCGGAUUAAUACCGCAUACGAUCUACGGAUGAAAGCGGGGGACCUUCGGGCCUCGCGCUAUAGGGUUGGCCGAUGGCUGAUUAGCUAGUUGGUGGGGUAAAGGCCUACCAAGGCGACGAUCAGUAGCUGGUCUGAGAGGACGACCAGCCACACUGGGACUGAGACACGGCCCAGACUCCUACGGGAGGCAGCAGUGGGGAAUUUUGGACAAUGGGCGAAAGCCUGAUCCAGCAAUGCCGCGUGUGUGAAGAAGGCCUUCGGGUUGUAAAGCACUUUUGUCCGGAAAAAAAUCCUUGGCCCUAAUACGGUCGGGGGAUGACGGUACCGGAAGAAUAAGCACCGGCUAACUACGUG